This 374-nucleotide ribosomal RNA is filed under the name uncultured bacterium. RNAcentral describes it as "bacterial SSU rRNA". It matches the Rfam family "Bacterial small subunit ribosomal RNA", at positions 524 to 898 of the family's 1533-position model. The record is from RNAcentral.
UACGGAGGGUGCGAGCGUUAAUCGGAAUUACUGGGCGUAAAGGGUGCGUAGGUUGUUAUAUAAGUUGUCUGUGAAAGUCCUGAGCUCAACUUAGGGAUGUCAGAUAAGACUGUAUGACUAGAGUAUGGGAGAGGGUAGUGGAAUUUCCGGUGUAGCGGUGAAAUGCGUAGAGAUCGGAAGGAACACCGGUGGCGAAGGCGGCUACCUGGCCUAAUACUGACACUGAGGCACGAAAGCGUGGGUAGCAAACAGGAUUAGAUACCCUGGUAGUCCACGCUGUAAACGAUGUCAACUAGCUGUUGGUUUUUAAGAGAAUUAGUAGCGAAGCGAACGCGAUAAGUUGACCGCCUGGGGAGUACGGUCGCAAGAUUAAA